GAUCCCAUCCAGCUGGUCGUCUUCCUGCCUGCCCUGUGCUGGAAGACGGGGGUGCCCCGCUGCGUUAUCAAGGGGAAGGCCGGGCCGAGGAGUCUGGCCCACAGAAAGAUCUGCACCACUGUCACCUUCACACAACUUAACUCAGAAGGUGAUGGAGCUCUGGCUAAGCUGGUGGAAGCCAUCAAGACCAAUUACAGGGACAGUGAUCUAAUUGCCAGGAUCUGUUCCGGGUAACCUGGUAUUUAAUCAAAAAUGCUAUUUUUGAAACAAAGAAUUCCCAAGUCUCCAGACUUAAGCAACUUCAGACCAGGCUUCAGACUUCUGAAAUGGCAUCCCAUUUUACUAGUGAAGAUGCUUUUUGCUCACUCUAUGUUUUUAUGCUCGGAUCCCGAAAAUCCAUUCUCCACAUAGCAGACUCGCUUAAGACACUCUUCUUAUCAGCCUUUGAAGAAGAACUAAGUGGCCAUGUUGGGAAGUUCGCAUGGGAAGAAGAUGACAGUGGUCUCUAGGAAAUGACGGCAUCCUCCAGCUGACAGUCAUCAAGAAGUUUAUACUCUCAGCCCUACAGCCACAAAGUAAUGAAUUCUGGCAACAAAACUGAGUGAACUUCAAAGUGGAUGCUUCCUAGUCAAGCCUUCAGAUUAGCACUAAUCUAACAUCUACCAGCAAUCCUCCUCUUUUUGCUGAGGAAGACUGGUCCUGAGGUAAUAUCCAUGUCCAUCUUCCUCUACUUUAUAUGUGGGAUGCUUGCCACAGCAUGGCUUGCCAAGGGCUGCCUAGGUCCGCACCCGGGAUCUGAACCAGCGAACCCCAGGCUGCUGAAGCAGAACAUGCGAGCUUAAUUGCUGCACCCCUGACCAUUUUUUCAUUGGAUUUUCUUUUUUGCUAUUGAAUUGUAUGACUUGUUUAUAUAUUUUAGAUAUUAAUUCCUUAUCAGAUACAUGUUUUUGCAAAUAUUUUCUCCCAUUCUAUAGGUUUCUUUCUCAUUUUUUAGAUGAUUUCCUUCACUGUGCAGAGCUUUUUAGUUUGAUGUAGUCCCACUUGUUUAUUUUUCUUUUGUUGCUUUGCUUUGGUGUCAAAUCCAAAAAAAUCACUGCCAAGACCAAUGUGAGCUAACUGCUUCUGUUUUCUUCUGGGCAUUUUAUGGUUUCAAAUCUUACAUUUCAAGUCCUUAGUCCAUUUUGAGUUGAUUUGGGAGUAUAGUAUAAGACAGUGGUCCAGUUUCAUUCUUUUGCAUAUGGCUUUCUAGUUUCCCAGAACCAUUUAUUGAAGAGACUGUCCUUUCCCCAUUACAUAUUGUUGGCUCUUUUGUAGUAAAUUAGUUGACCGUAUAUGUGUGGAUUUAUUUCUGGGCUCUCUAUUCUGUUCCAUUGAUCUAUGUGUCUGUUUUUACAUCAAUACUAUACCAUUUUCAUUACUGUAGAUUUGUAGUAUAUCUUGAAAUCAGGAAGACUGAUGCUCCAGCACUGAUCUUCUUUCUCAAGAUCUCUUUGGCUAUCUGGAGUCUUCUCUGUUUUUAUAUAAAUUUUAUGGUUGCUUGCUCUAUUUCUACAUAAAUUGCCGUUGGAAUUUUAUUACCUGUUAAAUGGGGAUAAAAUACAUUUUCUAUCUAAUUGUUAGGAUUAUUAUAAAUAUCAGAGUAAAUAUUAUAUAAUUUCAGU
RNAcentral lists this long non-coding RNA (1661 nucleotides) under Equus caballus (horse). RNAcentral describes it as "lncRNA (ENSECAG00000052330.1)". The record is from RNAcentral. Lineage: Eukaryota; Metazoa; Chordata; Mammalia; Perissodactyla; Equidae.